AAACCAACCGGGAUUGCCUUAGUAACGGCGAGUGAAGCGGCAAAAGCUCAAAUUUGAAAUCUAGUACCUUCGGUGCUCGAGUUGUAAUUUGUAGAAGGCAACUUUGGGGCUGGUCCUUGUCUAUGUUCCUUGGAACAGGACGUCAUAGAGGGUGAUAAUCCCGUGUGGCGAGGAAUUCAGUCCUUUGUAAAGUGCUUUCGAAGAGUCGAGUUGUUUGGGAAUGCAGCUCAAAGUGGGUGGUAAAUUCCAUCUAAAGCUAAAUAUUGGCGAGAGACCGAUAGCGAACAAGUACAGUGAUGGAAAGAUGAAAAGAACUUUGAAAAGAGAGUGAAAAAGUACGUGAAAUUGUUGAAAGGGAAGGGCAUUUGAUCAGACAUGGUGUUUUGCGCCCCUUACCUCUCGUGGGUUUGGGAAUCUCGCAGCUCACUGGGCCAACAUCAGUUUUGGUGGCAGGAUAAAUCUAUAGGAACGUAGCUUACUUCGGUAAGUAUUAUAGCCUGUGGGAAUACUGCCAACCGGGACUGAGGACUGCGAUUUAUAUCAAGGAUGUUGGCAUAAUGGUUAUAUGCCGC
RNAcentral lists this ribosomal RNA (572 nucleotides) under Kluyveromyces sp. ST-343. Its description in RNAcentral is "eukaryotic LSU rRNA". It matches the Rfam family "Eukaryotic large subunit ribosomal RNA", at positions 62 to 648 of the family's 3401-position model. The record is from RNAcentral. Lineage: Eukaryota; Fungi; Ascomycota; Saccharomycetes; Saccharomycetales; Saccharomycetaceae. RNAcentral also lists the same sequence under 1 other name.